GAGGUCAAGCAAAUCCCAUAAAGUUGUUCUCAGUUCGGAUUGUAGUCUGCAACUCGACUACAUGAAGCUGGAAUCGCUAGUAAUCGUAGAUCAGCAUGCUACGGUGAAUACGUUCCCGGGUCUUGUACACACCGCCCGUCACACCACGAGAGUUUGUAACACCCGAAGCCGGUGGAGUAACCAUUUUGGAGCUAGCCGUCGAAGGUGGGACAAAUGAUUGGGGUGAAGUCGUAACAAGGUAGCCGUAUCGGAAGGUGCGGCUGGAUCACCUCCUUUCUAAGGA
Molecule: ribosomal RNA, 283 nt
Filed under: Staphylococcus pseudintermedius
Lineage: Bacteria; Bacillati; Bacillota; Bacilli; Caryophanales; Staphylococcaceae
Description: partial 16S ribosomal RNA
Rfam family: Bacterial small subunit ribosomal RNA
Source: RNAcentral